Molecule: long non-coding RNA, 1769 nt
Organism: Ixodes scapularis (black-legged tick)
Lineage: Eukaryota; Metazoa; Arthropoda; Arachnida; Ixodida; Ixodidae
Exons: 2
Source: RefSeq, a predicted model, not a curated record
GUACAGAAAGUCCAAUUUUUUUCUUAAAACUUUUUUUAAAGGCCGAAGAUUUCACUCGGUUGACUAAACAACGAACGAAAGCCUACGAAAGCGGCGGAAGUUCGUCGUGACAUCUCAAAUGGUAACUGAUAUCGUGUGACGUUUUCCGUUUUGUUUUUUCUUGUCUUUCCUGAUAACAAAAAUACCCCUAUGAGUGGAAGAAGCGUUCUGGCUGUGAUAAGCGGACCUCGACGGUUACGCACACUCAUGGGUGAUCGGGGCAACUGCGGCGCGGGAUGCGUUUUCACCAACGGGCGGCAUGGGUGGCACUCUCCAUCUACCUCUGUGCCGGGUUCUUCUGUGUCCAGCCGCUACUACGCCUGACCGACCGCGGUGCCCUCGUGUCCAUCCGUGCGUCGCACCCAAGCAGCAGCCGCUUCUCAUGGGCUCGGGCGGAGAAUGUUCCGGUCGCUGUUGUCGCGGUGGUCGCCGCUCUGCUCUACAUGCAAGGCUUUGCCCUACUACUCGCUUGCACCAGGACGGACGCCAGGGCACGGAUCGCCAAGACAGUGUUUCCGUUUGUACUCUGCACGUUUUGGAAGUGGCUCCGAAGGAAGGACGAUGUUGUCGCGACGGGGUCGGAAGGAUACGUCGAGCCGCUCGUAUUUCUGUAGCGUUGCACGUAGAGCAGAGAUUACGAGUUCCAUAACUGGAGCGCGACAAGCACACUACUUAGGUGGCCAAGUCUGUGUUUCCAUUUGUGCUUGGUAAAUUCUGGAAGUGGCUCCGAGGUGGCCACAGAAACCACGUUGCCAGGACGUCGGAGAGGAUGCGCCGAGCCACUUGUAUUUCUGUACCGUCGAGCUCCCGCGUCCGAGAUUGCUCAUUUCCUGACUGGAGUAUGAUGGCAACAUUGCUAUACACCCUUCAGCCCUAGGCUGACGGUACGGUAGAAGCUACGCACUCUCCGAACCAAUCGGCCACCUCCCUUUCAUCACCUGACCCCGCAGUCGGUGCGGGUGCGAACACGAUCACAUGCCAGAUUAUGGACAUACGACUGGCCCAACCCCCCAACAUGCAGCUUCCACCGCACAGUCGGGUGAAGGCCGAGCAGUGUAAGCUAUAUGCUGGUUGGACUAGUCUUGCAUCUUUUGCCAUGUGAUUGCACUCCCACUCAUACCCAUGUACAGAGAGUGGGGUCAAGUGAUGUAAAGGAGGCAGCCGAUUAAUCCAGCAAGCGCGUAGCUCCCACCACACCCUUAGCCUAGGGGUGAAGCUCUUCUUUCGUUUUUUAUGAGCGGCAUUUUAUGGUAAAAAACAGCUUUCAUAAUUAAUCAAGUCAUUCAGAGUGUUAUACGUAUGUUCAAGAUAAGUGAACUGAGCUUUAUAUCAUCAUAUUUUUAGAAGUCUUUUUUACAAUUACAGCAGCUACGAGCAAAGCCUAACAUAAUACUCGAAGUCAUAUUGAAGUAUGUGUUACACCAAAGAGCAUGUACCAUUUCGCUGGUUUUGUCGGCUACAAGUGAGCAUGUUUUGUUGGAUUACCAGAGGAGAACGUGUAAUGAAUCGCAAAUGUUAAUUGCCGCCCCCUGUAUAUUCAGUGAAAGAAUUCAGUUGCUGGGGGGGGGGGGGGGGGGGGGGGUUUACAACUACAUCAUAUCGAGAUCUAUUAGAACUCCACACGUCUCCCAAGCGAAGGAAACGGGCUCACAACACUCGUAUGUACAUUCUGGUCACACAGCGCAGCCCAAAUAAAGUUAUUGUGGCAAUAGUCACUUUCUCCAUUGAAA